ACUAACGCUGUCGGCGUGCCUAACACAUGCAAGUCGUACGAGAAAGUUGGCUUCGGCCGAUGAGUAAAGUGGCGCACGGGUGAGUAACGCGUGGAUAAUCUACCCCUCAGUUGGGAAUAACUCAUCGAAAGGUGGGCUAAUACCGAAUAAUACUGCAUGACUUCUGUUGUGUAGUCAAAGAUGGCCUCUGCUUGCAAGCUAUCGCUGAAGGAUGAGUCCGCGUACCAUUAGCUAGUUGGUAGGGUAAUGGCCUACCAAGGCAACGAUGGUUAGCUGGUCUGAGAGGAUGAUCAGCCACACUGGAACUGAGACACGGUCCAGACUCCUACGGGAGGCAGCAGUGAGGAAUAUUGCGCAAUGGGGGCAACCCUGACGCAGCAACGCCGCGUGAGUGAGGAAGGUUUUCGGACCGUAAAGCUCUGUCGAGCGGGAAGAAAUGCAUAGUGGCUAAUAUCCAUUAUGCUUGACGGUACCGCUAAAGGAAGCACCGGCUAACUCCGUGCCAGCAGCCGCGGUAAUACGGGGGGUGCUAGCGUUGUUCGGAAUCAUUGGGCGUAAAGAGCGUGUAGGCGGCUGGAUAAGUCAGAUGUGAAAGCCCUGGGCUUAACCCAGGAAGUGCAUUUGAAACUGUUCAGCUUGAGUAAGGGAGAGGAAAGUGGAAUUCCUGGUGUAGAGGUGAAAUUCGUAGAUAUCAGGAGGAACACCGGUGGCGAAGGCGACUUUCUGGCCCUAUACUGACGCUGAGACGCGAGAGCGUGGGUAGCAAACAGGAUUAGAUACCCUGGUAGUCCACGCUGUAAACGAUGUUCACUAGGUGUUGG
RNAcentral lists this ribosomal RNA (821 nucleotides) under uncultured anaerobic bacterium. RNAcentral describes it as "bacterial SSU rRNA". It matches the Rfam family "Bacterial small subunit ribosomal RNA", at positions 29 to 826 of the family's 1533-position model. The record is from RNAcentral.